Molecule: small RNA, 116 nt
Filed under: Bacillus sp. MUM 13
Lineage: Bacteria; Bacillati; Bacillota; Bacilli; Caryophanales; Bacillaceae
Description: RNA Staph. aureus E (RoxS)
Rfam family: RNA Staph. aureus E (RoxS)
About the family: It was shown to be regulated by the presence of nitric oxide (NO). In Bacillus subtilis it controls expression of genes with functions related to oxidative stress and oxidation-reduction reactions and it was renamed RoxS (for related to oxidative stress).
Source: Rfam by way of RNAcentral
GUGAGGUUGAUCACAGCAAACUUAUACCCCUUUGUUUGAUCGUGAAAAAUUUCUCCCAUCCCCUUUGUUCGUAUAAAUAGAUAAAGAAGGCCCUGCUAUUUUAGCAGGGCCUUCUU